RNAcentral lists this transfer RNA (82 nucleotides) under Emiliania huxleyi. It matches the Rfam family "tRNA". From Rfam's summary of the family: Transfer RNA (tRNA) molecules are approximately 80 nucleotides in length. Lineage: Eukaryota; Haptophyta; Isochrysidales; Noelaerhabdaceae. The record is from Rfam by way of RNAcentral. RNAcentral also lists the same sequence under 1 other name.
GUUGUUGUGUCCGAGUGGUUAAGGAGGUGGAUUCGAAACCCACUGGGCUCCGCCCGCGCAGGUUCGAGUCCUGUCGACAACG